GUAGCUCGUCAGGCUCAUAACCUGAAGGCCGCAGGUUCAAAUCCUGCCCCCGCAACCA
RNAcentral lists this transfer RNA (58 nucleotides) under Rhizobium lentis. RNAcentral describes it as "tRNA-OTHER". It matches the Rfam family "tRNA", at positions 18 to 71 of the family's 71-position model. From Rfam's summary of the family: Transfer RNA (tRNA) molecules are approximately 80 nucleotides in length. Lineage: Bacteria; Pseudomonadati; Pseudomonadota; Alphaproteobacteria; Hyphomicrobiales; Rhizobiaceae. The record is from RNAcentral.